RNAcentral lists this ribosomal RNA (420 nucleotides) under uncultured eukaryote. RNAcentral describes it as "SSU rRNA". It matches the Rfam family "Eukaryotic small subunit ribosomal RNA", at positions 587 to 969 of the family's 1831-position model. The record is from RNAcentral.
AGCUCCGCGAGCGUAUAUUAAAAUUGUUGCAGUUAAAAAGCUCGUAGUUGGACUUUUGGUCUAGAACUCUCCCAGCUCGGAGAAAUUAGCAGGAACGAACUUCGGUUGGUAACUCGUUUCAGGAAAGCAGGAUGCGGGGUCGAUCAUUUCCUUAUCGCAUUGAUGUUCUUGUUGGGCAACCUUCAGGGACACCGCGAAGAGGCAUUACUUUGAAGAAAGGAGAGUGUUUAAAGCAGACGUGUGUCGUGAAUUUAAUAGCAUGGAAUGGUAACAUAGGAUCCUCAGAUAAUUUGGUUAGUUUUGUAUGUGAGGGUAAUGAUUGAUAGGGGUAAUUGGGGGUGCUAGUACUCAAUGGCCAGAGGUGAAAUUCUGUGACCCGAUGAAGACUGACUAUUGCGAAAGCAUUCACCAAGGAUAUUU